RNAcentral lists this ribosomal RNA (449 nucleotides) under uncultured bacterium. Its description in RNAcentral is "partial 16S ribosomal RNA". It matches the Rfam family "Bacterial small subunit ribosomal RNA", at positions 29 to 523 of the family's 1533-position model. The record is from RNAcentral.
AACGAACGCUGGCGGCAUGCCUAACACAUGCAAGUCGAACGAAGACUUCGGCCUGAGUGGCGCACGGGUGCGUAACGCGUGGGAAUCUGCCCCUCGGUUCGGAAUAACAGUUAGAAAUGACUGCUAAUACCGGAUGAUGACUGCGGUCCAAAGAUUUAUCGCCGAGGGAUGAGCCCGCGUAAGAUUAGGGAGUUGGUGGGGUAAAGGCCUACCAAGACGACGAUCUUUAGCUGGUCUGAGAGGAUGAUCAGCCACACUGGGACUGAGACACGGCCCAGACUCCUACGGGAGGCAGCAGUGGGGAAUAUUGGACAAUGGGCGAAAGCCUGAUCCAGCAAUGCCGCGUGAGUGAUGAAGGCCUUAGGGUUGUAAAGCUCUUUUACCAGGGAUGAUAAUGACAGUACCUGGAGAAUAAGCUCCGGCUAACUCCGUGCCAGCAGCCGCCGUAA